This 430-nucleotide ribosomal RNA is filed under the name Pseudomonadota bacterium. RNAcentral's name for it is "Proteobacteria bacterium partial 16S ribosomal RNA". It matches the Rfam family "Bacterial small subunit ribosomal RNA", at positions 355 to 776 of the family's 1533-position model. Lineage: Bacteria; Pseudomonadati; Pseudomonadota. The record is from RNAcentral.
UGGGGAAUAUUGGACAAUGGGGGGAACCCUGAUCCAGCCAUGCCGCGUGUGUGAAGAAGGCCUUAUGGUUGUAAAGCACUUUAAGCGAGGAGGAGGGUACUGGUAUUAAUACUGCCAGGUACUGGACGUUACUCGCAGAAUAAGCACCGGCUAACUCUGUGCCAGCAGCCGCGGUAAUACAGAGGGUGCGAGCGUUAAUCGGAUUUACUGGGCGUAAAGCGUGCGUAGGCGGCUAAUUGAGUCGGAUGUGAAAUCCCCGAGCUUAACUUGGGAAUUGCAUUCGAUACUGGUUAGCUAGAGUGUGGGAGAGGAUGGUAGAAUUCCAGGUGUAGCGGUGAAAUGCGUAGAGAUCUGGAGGAAUACCGAUGGCGAAGGCAGCCAUCUGGCCUAACACUGACGCUGAGGUACGAAAGCAUGGGGAGCAAACAGG